This 329-nucleotide unclassified non-coding RNA is filed under the name soil metagenome. RNAcentral's name for it is "partial contains 5.8S ribosomal RNA, internal transcribed spacer 2, and large subunit ribosomal RNA". The stretch from base 1 to 119 matches the Rfam family "5.8S ribosomal RNA", at positions 35 to 154 of the family's 154-position model. The record is from RNAcentral.
GAUGAAGACGUAGCGAAAUGCGAUAAGUAGUGUGAAUUGCAGAAUUCAGUGAAUCAUCGAAUCUUUGAACGCACAUUGCGCCCCUUGGUAUUCCAUGGGGCAUGCCUGUUCGAGCGUCAUUUGUACCCUCAAGCUUUGCUUGGUGUUGGGCGUCUUGUCUUGUAUUAGACUCGCCUUAAAGUCAUUGGCAGCCAGUGUUUUUGGUAGUAAGCGCAGCACAUUUUGCGUCUUAGUCCUUGAAUCGUGGCAUCCAUGAAGCCUUUUUUCACUUUUGACCUCGGAUCAGGUAGGGAUACCCGCUGAACUUAAGCAUAUCAAUAAGCGGAGGA